UCUCAGAGUCGUAGAUGUAACUGUAACUUCUUAGGGUAAAAUAUGGAUCAUUAUUCUUGUGACUGAUAAUCAAAUGCAUCUCAGGGAAAUUGAGCACGGCUUUCUUGCCGGAUGAAAUGAUCCAAGUUAAUUGGAAAAUCAGCCUGAGGUGCAAAACUUUGAUAGGCCAAAAUUGUGUAGUGUAUUAACUUAGGCAGAGGGCGUCUCGAGAAAACGAACUUCCUAAAUAUAACAGGACCUCCGUUUAUCGUUAAUGGAGAGCCGACCUUGAGGGACGACGUUUGGGCACAUUUGAGUUUGUCUUCACUGGAACAGAAGAUCUGAAGUCAACUCGUACAAUAAGACAGAUCAGAACCAUUCGAAACUUCAAUCACCGCUGAACAAAAGAGAAACCCCGAGCUCCCAGAACAGUUUUCAGAGAGAUUUCAGUCGUCGGAGCGAGACAGCCUGGCGUCACGGGUCGACCAGUAAGAUGAGGAUGAUACAAGUACUUCAAGUCCAUUUUUGAAGCAGCUGUGCCUUUCACACCCCUUCCAUCGGUACUUGUGAUGUCAGUGUGAAUGUAGUCAUAAGCUCUUUAGAGUAGAUCACUAAGUAAACACGAGAACUCACACGUGGUAAGCUGUGGUCUGGUAAUUGUCGAAGCAGGGCAAUUCAUGAGACAUUAACUUAUGUAUAUAAUCUAUUCCAUAUAGAUUUUUGAUACACGUGUUCCUUUUCUUUUUUCUUCUUCUUAUUUGCUUGCCACAUGAGCAGGAAAAAAAUUUAAGGGCAUUUUAGUUUCUCUUUAAAAGUCAUGUUUAUGGAAAUGUUGAAAUAGGUUUUAAGUAGCAUUAGUCAGUAGAAAAUUAUUGAUAUUUCCUGAGAAAUCGAAGCUGAGAUUCUCCCCAAAACUGUUUUGUAGCUCUCGUGCGAAAUUUCAGUAAAUACAGGGAAGUUGGAAAUUGUGUUAAUAAAACAUUAUUAACAUUUGUUUCCUAAUGUCUCCGAAUCACGUGCAAACGCCCCAUUAACAUAAUUUCUGGACACCCUGUAUGUAUUUCUAGCAUGAGUAGAAAGAAUUGCUAAAAGUUCAGAUAGAAAAUGACAUUAUUUUUUUUUUAUCAAACCAACUAAAAGUUAUAAAGUUUGUAGCAUCCCAAAAGUUCAUUUCAUUGCUUCACAUGGUUUGGGAUAAAUAGCUAUAGUCUAAAAGGUAGGGUGCACCGUAUCCUUAAUAAUUAUAAGUGAUUUACUAUA
Limulus polyphemus (Atlantic horseshoe crab) is the source of this 1239-nucleotide long non-coding RNA. RefSeq lists it as uncharacterized. The record is from RefSeq and is a predicted model, not a curated record. The transcript has 3 exons. Lineage: Eukaryota; Metazoa; Arthropoda; Merostomata; Xiphosura; Limulidae.